UACGUAGGGUGCGAGCGUUGUCCGGAUUUAUUGGGCGUAAAAGAGCUUGUAGGCGGCUCGUCACGUCGGGUGUGAAAACUCGCGGCUCAACCGCGAGCCUGCACCCGAUACGGGCGGGCUGGAGUUCGGCAGGGGAGACUGGAAUUCCUGGUGUAGCGGUGGAAUGCGCAGAUAUCAGGAGGAACACCGGUGGCGAAGGCGGGUCUCUAGGCCGAUACUGACGCUGAGAAGCGAAAGCGUGGGGAGCGAACAGGA
Molecule: ribosomal RNA, 255 nt
Filed under: uncultured bacterium
Lineage: Bacteria
Description: partial 16S ribosomal RNA
Rfam family: Bacterial small subunit ribosomal RNA
Source: RNAcentral